RNAcentral lists this ribosomal RNA (253 nucleotides) under uncultured bacterium. Its description in RNAcentral is "partial 16S ribosomal RNA". It matches the Rfam family "Bacterial small subunit ribosomal RNA", at positions 524 to 776 of the family's 1533-position model. The record is from RNAcentral.
GACAGGGGGUGCAAACGUUGCUCGGAAUUACUGGGCGUAAAGCGCACGUAGGCGGUUCUGUAAGACGGGUGUGAAAGCCCUCGGCUCAACCGAGGAACUGCGCCCGAUACUGCAGGGCUUGAGGACGGGAGGGGAGAGUGGAAUUCCUGGUGGAGCGGUGAAAUGCGUAGAUAUCAGGAGGAACACCAGUGGCGAAGGCGACUCUCUGGUCCGUUCCUGACGCUGAGGUGCGAAAGCUAGGGGAGCAAACGGG